UGGGGAAUAUUGCACAAUGGGGGAAACCCUGAUGCAGCGACGCCGCGUGAAGGAUGAAGUGUUUCGGCAUGUAAACUUCUCUCAGCAGGGAAGAAAAUGACGGUACCUGACUAAGAAGCCCCGGCUAACUACGUGCCAGCAGCCGCGGUAAUACGUAGGGGGCAAGCGUUAUCCGGAUUUACUGGGUGUAAAGGGAGCGUAGACGGUUGUGCAAGUCAGAUGUGAAAGUCCAGGGCUCAACCCUGGGACUGCAUUUGAAACUGUGCAACUAGAGUGUCGGAGAGGUAAGUGGAAUUCCUAGUGUAGCGGUGAAAUGCGUAGAUAUUAGGAGGAACACCAGUGGCGAAGGCGACUUACUGGACGAUAACUGACGGUGAGGCUCGAAAGCGUGGGGAGCAAACA
Molecule: ribosomal RNA, 402 nt
Filed under: uncultured prokaryote
Description: bacterial SSU rRNA
Rfam family: Bacterial small subunit ribosomal RNA
Source: RNAcentral